GACGAACGCUGGCGGCGUGCUUAACACAUGCAAGUCGAACGGAAAGGCCCUGCUUUUGUGGGGUGCUCGAGUGGCGAACGGGUGAGUAACACGUGAGUAACCUGCCCUUGACUUUGGGAUAACUUCAGGAAACUGGGGCUAAUACCGGAUAGGAGCUCCUGCUGCAUGGUGGGGGUUGGAAAGUUUCGGCGGUUGGGGAUGGACUCGCGGCUUAUCAGCUUGUUGGUGGGGUAGUGGCUUACCAAGGCUUUGACGGGUAGCCGGCCUGAGAGGGUGACCGGCCACAUUGGGACUGAGAUACGGCACAGACUCAUACGGGAGGCAGCAGUGGGGAAUAUUGCACAAUGGGCGGAAGCCUGAUGCAGCAACGCCGCGUGCGGGAUGACGGCAUUCGGGUUGUAAACCGCUUUCGCCUGUGACGAAGCGUGAGUGACGGUAAUGGGUAAAGAAGCACCGGCUAACUACGUG
This 468-nucleotide ribosomal RNA is filed under the name uncultured bacterium. RNAcentral's name for it is "partial 16S ribosomal RNA". It matches the Rfam family "Bacterial small subunit ribosomal RNA", at positions 28 to 507 of the family's 1533-position model. The record is from RNAcentral.